This 492-nucleotide ribosomal RNA is filed under the name uncultured bacterium. Its description in RNAcentral is "partial 16S ribosomal RNA". It matches the Rfam family "Bacterial small subunit ribosomal RNA", at positions 29 to 507 of the family's 1533-position model. The record is from RNAcentral.
AGUGAACGCUGGCGGUAGGCCUAACACAUGCAAGUCGAACGGCAGCACAGUAAGAGCUUGCUCUUACGGGUGGCGAGUGGCGGACGGGUGAGGAAUACAUCGGAAUCUACUUUUUCGUGGGGGAUAACGUAGGGAAACUUACGCUAAUACCGCAUACGACCUACGGGUGAAAGCAGGGGAUCUUCGGACCUUGCGCGAUUGAAUGAGCCGAUGUCGGAUUAGCUAGUUGGCGGGGUAAAGGCCCACCAAGGCGACGAUCCGUAGCUGGUCUGAGAGGAUGAUCAGCCACACUGGAACUGAGACACGGUCAAGACUCCUACGGGAGGCAGCAGUGGGGAAUAUUGGACAAUGGGCGCAAGCCUGAUCCAGCCAUACCGCGUGGGUGAAGAAGGCCUUCGGGUUGUAAAGACCUUUUGUUGGGAAAGAAAAGCAGCAGGUUAAUACCCCGCUGUUCUGACGGUACCCAAAGAAUAAGCACCGGCUAACUUCGUG